CCUACGGGGGGCUGUAGUGGGGAAUAUUGGGCAAUGGGCGCAAGCCUGACCCAGCAACGCCGCGUGAGGGAAGAAUGUCUUCGGAUUGUAAACCUCUGUCCUUGGGGACGAAAAAAAUGACGGUACCCAAGGAGGAAGCUCCGGCUAACUACGUGCCAGCAGCCGCGGUAAUACGCAGGGGGCAAGCGUUGGCCGGAAGUACUGGGCGUAACGGGUGCGUAGGCGGCAUGGCAAGUCAGAUGUGAAAUCCCCGGGCUUAACUCGGGUGGUGCAUUUGAAACUGCCAAGCUUGAGUGCAGGAGAGGAGAGCGGAAUUCCUAGUGUAGCGGUGAAAUGCGUAGAUAUUAGGAGGAACACCAGUGGCGAAGGCGGCUUUCUGGACUGUAACUGACGCUGAGGCACGAAAGCGUGGGGAGCAAACG
This 422-nucleotide ribosomal RNA is filed under the name uncultured prokaryote. RNAcentral's name for it is "bacterial SSU rRNA". It matches the Rfam family "Bacterial small subunit ribosomal RNA", at positions 338 to 774 of the family's 1533-position model. The record is from RNAcentral.